Entelurus aequoreus (snake pipefish) is the source of this 484-nucleotide long non-coding RNA. RefSeq lists it as uncharacterized. NCBI's taxonomy places the organism in Eukaryota, Metazoa, Chordata, Actinopteri, Syngnathiformes, Syngnathidae. The transcript is spliced from 3 exons. The record is from RefSeq and is a predicted model, not a curated record.
AUCAUCCUUCUCAGAAUUUCCACCAAUAUUUAUAGGAAAACUUCAUUCAGUCAUCCAUUCCAGCCUGAAGAGGAGUCAAGGGCAAUCGGAUCAACUCGUGAACUAGCUGACCAGAACCAAAUACAAUGAGGACUGGGUUAGGUAUGUGGGUGUUGGGCCUGCUGGGUCUAUGUCUUGUUCUUGGCCAGGCUGGGGCAUUACCCAUGGACCUUCCCCCUGGCUUUACUGCAAUGCAUUCGGAAGCAGCUCCCUUGGAGGAAGUACUUUCAAAGGCUUCUCCCACUGCUGGAACUGCCGAAGCUGAAAAUGACAACCCCUUCCACUCUCCAUCCAAGCCCUCGAAAGAGUCCCACCCAGUCUAGCCUGUAGCUCCCACCAUGGCGGCCACACCAGCACCUCCCACAAACGGGCCUCUCCUCGAUGAAGACUUGUUGGCAUGAAAGCUUCUUCAGGCCUGUCAUAUUAAAUAAACCCUUCCAUCACA